This 74-nucleotide transfer RNA is filed under the name Chlamydiales bacterium SCGC AG-110-P3. It matches the Rfam family "tRNA". From Rfam's summary of the family: Transfer RNA (tRNA) molecules are approximately 80 nucleotides in length. Their secondary structure includes four short double-helical elements and three loops (D, anti-codon, and T loops). Lineage: Bacteria; Pseudomonadati; Chlamydiota; Chlamydiia; Chlamydiales. The record is from Rfam by way of RNAcentral.
GGGUCUUUAGCUCAGUUGGUUAGAGCAUCUCACUUUUAAUGAGAGGGCCGUUGGUUCGAGUCCAACAAGACCCA